UUUUUUUUUUUUUUUUUUCUCUCUCUCUUUUUUCCCCCCUCCCUUUUCUUUUUUUCCACCCCCCUACCCACCCUUUGUUUCCCCUCUGGACCUGCCUGCCCACCCGAGGGGGACCGUAGCAAGGCCAGGUUGGAGGGUUUGACUGCAGAGAGGUUAUUCCCAGCAUCGAGGCAGCUCCGCUCUCCGCUGUUCUCCCGCGGGGCAGCCUUUCUCCUCCCCUCCCGCCCGCCACGUCCCGGCUCGUUUUGCCCCGUGGCUACUACUGAGGACUUUCAGGUAUCGGCUGGUGACGAGCUCUUUCCCCUGCUCUGCUCACCACCAAGCCCUGCCCUCGCAGAGGAAGAGUUUGGCCCCGGAGGGUCCUUCCCCGGCUCCCAGCCCCACGCUGGUCCCGUGCCGCGGCCCUGGGGGAGUUUGGUUGCUGCUGGUCCCGUCCUGGGUGUCCUCUCCCACCCCACGCCGCUAAACCUCGGAAAGCUGGGGGGCGUGGUGGGGGUUUGGGGAUGAUCCAGCUGCAGCAGCACCAGAGGCAGCUGUGAGAGCCUCUGUGUCUGGCCCGGCCUCUUCACAAGCGCUUUGGGACUUUUCCUCCUGCCCUUCGGGGCCUUGUUCGCCGGCCCUUGGAGAUCUGCUCCCGUAGCACCCCGCGAUCGCCUACGCGAGCCUUUGCUGAGCAAAUCCACCUCUUCCCCCAAGGCAUCCAAGCGCGGGCGCAGUCUGCGAGCCCCUUCGCGGUGCCUGGUCCCUGCCCCGCGCCGGCACGACGGGAGUCGGGACGUCGUGGACCUUCUCUUGGGAUCGCGUCACGGUUUGCAGAGCGGAGGUGGGAGAAGGCACCCAACCCUGAAUCCGCGCAGCCGAGGCGAAGCGCCGGCCCAGCCCCGGGGCUGCACCGUGGGCCGCGUCCCCCCGGCCCACGGCGGGUUUGCCCCGUGGGCCUCCGCGUAACUGCCUUAACCCCCGUCCCCUCCGCACUCGGGCUCUGGCUUCGGGCUGCGUCCGGAGGUUAAUCCCGCCGAGAGCUGGGAGACGCCGCCGGCAUCGCGCUCGCGGGGCUGGUUUGGGAGCUGGUUUCUCUCCCUCUCCUCCAGCAGCGAAACGCCGUUGCGUCCGUGCCACCGCCCGGCCCCCGCUGCUCCGUUCUGCUUCGCCCCCGGCCUGUAACAAGAGGGAAGGGACACGGGCUGCCCUCUCCCGCGUGACGUUCUCCCUCAGGGCGUCCCAGAAGUUUAAGGGCAGCCCGGAGAAGCUCUCGCUGGGUGGACGGGAAGGUGAAACUUGUCCCCGCUUGUGCUGGCCCGACGCCCAACCGUCCCAGCACCCCGCGGCAGAAGGAUGUUACCGCCCAGUUGUGUCGUCGGCGUGUCCCAGAGGAGGAGCGGGGAUGGUCUGCGGGCAGCUCCUGGGCUCGCUGGUGAGGUCAGCCCCGCCUGCACCCCUCCCCUGCCGCCUGCACCACGUUUUUGGGGGGGUUCAGCGGCCUCUCCAGCCAGUUUUUCACUGUCCGCCCCACGGAUGGAGGUCACCAGCACUUGCUCCAUGAUAAAGGGAAGGGGCAGCCCAUCCCCGGCAGAGACGGCAGCUCGUGCCUUCACCAGCGCUACCGACCGCAGCGAAAUAAGGAUCAAGCAGCUGGGAGGAGAGGGGCCUUUCCGACGAGGGAUCCAGCCCGUGCCACCGUCCCGAACAUCCUCCUCCGCUACCCCGCCGCUCCCCCGGGAUUUCCGGGGGGCCCCGGGGUAACCCCGAAGCUCAGGUUAGGUUGUACGAUUCGUCCCAGCUCCAGCACGGAGCAGCCUGGCGCCCACGGGCUCGGCCCCGAGGGGACGGGAAGGUUUUCCCGGCGGCUGCACCUUUCCCAAGGGAAAAGCCUCUUCCCCUUUCCAAUGUUUCUGCUGCUUCACCCAGGACCGGGGGCUGCGGGUGCCGGGUGCGGAGCGAGGUCUUUUUUUUCACAUUCGCUGUAAAUAGCAUCGUCCGCGGUGACACGGACCCACCCCCCCACCCCCCCCCCCCCGUUCAUGUCGCACAGCCCCUGCCCUCCCCCCGCGCCCUGGUUGUGCUAACUGCUCCGUGAGCACCAGGUUUAAAAAAAAAAAAAAAAACAAAAAAACAAAAAAACCACAAAAACCGAGAGAAAAGAAACUCCUUCAACACGAGCACAAUGUUGAGGUUUGUUUUUUUUUUUUUUUUUUUGUAAAAGGAUCCAAUAAAUGGAGAGUUUAACUUGA
Tyto alba (common barn owl) is the source of this 2231-nucleotide long non-coding RNA. RefSeq lists it as uncharacterized. The transcript is spliced from 2 exons. NCBI's taxonomy places the organism in Eukaryota, Metazoa, Chordata, Aves, Strigiformes, Tytonidae. The record is from RefSeq and is a predicted model, not a curated record.